AUGGCCGAAAGCCUCAGGUUUCUGGAGGAAGGUUCGUCCGCUCCAGGUUAGUCGGGAGCUAAGGUGAGGCCUAACGGCGUAGCCGAUGCACAGACGGUAGAGAUUCCGUCACCACCAAAAGAGUUAAACACAGGGACACAUUUGAAGUCUCGGAGCCGGGUGUUGGUUCCGGUAGCGAUCGAGGAAAGUUAGUACCGAAGUCCGGGAUGGAAGAUGGCGAGAAAAGCUGUGUGUAUUUCUGCGGUGCCCGUACCGCAAACCGACACAGGUAGGUAGGAAGAAGAUUCUAAGGCCAACGGGAGAAGGGUUGUUAAGGAACUCGGCAAAUUG
This 330-nucleotide ribosomal RNA is filed under the name Faecalibacterium prausnitzii. RNAcentral describes it as "partial 23S ribosomal RNA". It matches the Rfam family "Bacterial large subunit ribosomal RNA", at positions 1333 to 1724 of the family's 2925-position model. Lineage: Bacteria; Bacillati; Bacillota; Clostridia; Eubacteriales; Oscillospiraceae. The record is from RNAcentral.